Molecule: ribosomal RNA, 630 nt
Filed under: Evolvulus alsinoides
Lineage: Eukaryota; Viridiplantae; Streptophyta; Magnoliopsida; Solanales; Convolvulaceae
Description: eukaryotic LSU rRNA
Rfam family: 5.8S ribosomal RNA (bases 215-370)
Source: RNAcentral
GCGGAAGGAUCAUUGUCGAAACCUGCCCUGCAGUAAGACUCGCGAACGUGUUUAAACACCAUACCGCGGGGGGCGGGACCUUUUGGUUUCGGCCUUUGCGAAUGAACAACCCCCGGCGCGGAACGCGCCAAGGAAUAUACCAACGAGAUUGCUCGCACCCUCUGCUCCGUUCGCGGAUUGCAACGGGAGUGCUUGCAACUUGCUUAAUAGAAACGACUCUCGGCAACGGAUAUCUCGGCUCUCGCAUCGAUGAAGAACGUAGCGAAAUGCGAUACUUGGUGUGAAUUGCAGAAUCCCGUGAACCAUCGAGUCUUUGAACGCAAGUUGCGCCCGAAACCGUCAGGUCUAGGGCACGUCUGCCUGGGUGUCACGCAUCGCGUCGCCCCCCCUCCCCGCGUUACAGGGCCAGAGGGGGCGGAAGAUGGCCUCCCGUGCGCUCCAUCGGGACGCGGAUGGCCUAAAUGCAAAGUCCAUGGCGACGGACGUCACGACGAGUGGUGGAAGUACCCCGUGUGCAUAUCUUCGCGUCUUGCCGUCUGUCGACCCUCGAGGACAAUUGACCCUUUUGAGCGAAGGCUCGUUUUACGCGACCCCAGGUCAGGCGGGACUACCCGCUGAGUUUAAGCAUAU